Molecule: ribosomal RNA, 253 nt
Filed under: uncultured bacterium
Lineage: Bacteria
Description: partial 16S ribosomal RNA
Rfam family: Bacterial small subunit ribosomal RNA
Source: RNAcentral
UACGUAGGGUGCAAGCGUUAAUCGGAAUUACUGGGCGUAAAGCGUGCGCAGGCGGUUUUGUAAGUCUGUCGUGAAAGCCCCGGGCUCAACCUGGGAAUUGCGAUGGAGACUGCAAGGCUUGAAUCUGGCAGAGGGGGGUAGAAUUCCACGUGUAGCAGUGAAAUGCGUAGAGAUGUGGAGGAACACCGAAGGCGAAGGCAGCCCCCUGGGUCAAGAUUGACGCUCAUGCACGAAAGCGUGGGGAGCAAACAGG